CAUCAAUGUCACACCAUACAUC
RNAcentral lists this microRNA (22 nucleotides) under Ananas comosus (pineapple). Its description in RNAcentral is "microRNA s0476_c64a". The record is from RNAcentral. Lineage: Eukaryota; Viridiplantae; Streptophyta; Magnoliopsida; Poales; Bromeliaceae.